RNAcentral lists this small RNA (756 nucleotides) under Malus domestica (apple). RNAcentral's name for it is "sRNA MD04G0004100". The record is from RNAcentral. Lineage: Eukaryota; Viridiplantae; Streptophyta; Magnoliopsida; Rosales; Rosaceae.
GUGCACAAACAAAUAUUUGUAUUUGAUGAUUUUGGGUUACAAUCUCUCUCUAUUUUGAUCCUCUGAUUCGAUCUCCGUAAGGUGUUGAUUUGUGGGAUGUGCGAUUGAUCCAAGGGCCGUCGAGGCUUGAUCUUGGAUGAACGAGGAUGAACGGAUCUUCGAGGGCUUUUGAGCUUGAUCUUGAAGAAUGGUGAUUGACGGAUCUUCAAGGGCUUUUGGGCUUGAUCUUGAAGAACAGUGAUGAACGGAUUUCCGAGGGCUUUUGGGCUUGAACUCGAAGAACAGUGACGAACGGAUCUUCGAGAGCUUUUGGGCUUGAACGGAUCUUCGAGGGCUUUUGGGCUUGAUCUCGAAGAAUAGUGAUGAACGAUGAACGCUUUCUUCAAGGGUCGGCCGUCGGGGCUUGGGCUUGAUGAACAGCGAAUGAGCGGAUUUGUUGAUGUUGUCGAUCCAAAGGGGCCGUUGGGGCUUGAUCCUUGAGGAUGAACAGUUGAUGAACGAUGAACGCUUUCUUCAAGAGGCCGUUGAGGCUUGGGCUUGAAGGUGGAUGAUUGUUGAUCCAAGGGCCGUCGGGCUUGAUCUUGGAAGAACGAUGAACGAAGAACGCUUUCUUGAUUCUUCGGGAACCUGGAUGCUUGAGAGCUUCGGAGUUUCAGAGCUUCAGAGCUUCAAGAGUUUUUGCCUAAUGAUUUUUUUGGUCCCUUAAAUGAAUGAAAUGGGCUUGUAUUUAUAGAAUUUUCCAAUGCCUAAUUUUGA